CCCUUAGAUGUUCUGGGCCGCACGCGCGCUACACUGAUUCAUGCACUAAGUAUAUAAUCUUGGUAGAAAUGCUUGGGUAAUCUUUGAAACUGAAUCGUGCUGGGGAUUGGAGCUUGUAAUUAUUCUCCAUGAACGAGGAAUUCCUAGUAAACGCGAGUCAUCAGCUCGCAUUGAUUACGUCCCUGCCCUUUGUACACACCGCCCGUCGCACCUACCGAUUGAAUGGUCCGGUGAAAUCUUCGGACCGGGCGAUAGUCAGCAAUGACCGUUGCCUGGAAAGUUGCUUAAACCUUACCAUUUAGAGGAAGGUGAAGUCGUAACA
Molecule: ribosomal RNA, 322 nt
Filed under: uncultured eukaryote
Lineage: Eukaryota
Description: partial 18S ribosomal RNA
Rfam family: Eukaryotic small subunit ribosomal RNA
Source: RNAcentral